This 91-nucleotide transfer RNA is filed under the name Candidatus Viridilinea halotolerans. RNAcentral describes it as "tRNA-Ser". It matches the Rfam family "tRNA". From Rfam's summary of the family: Transfer RNA (tRNA) molecules are approximately 80 nucleotides in length. Their secondary structure includes four short double-helical elements and three loops (D, anti-codon, and T loops). The record is from RNAcentral. Lineage: Bacteria; Bacillati; Chloroflexota; Chloroflexia; Chloroflexales; Oscillochloridaceae.
GGGGGCGUGCCGGAGCCCGGUUGAACGGAUUCGCCUUGAAAGCGAACGGCCCUCAUACGGCCCGUGGGUUCGAAUCCCACCGCCCCCUCCA